UAAAUAAUUUAUAUAGAAAAAAAUUACUAAUUUGUGAUUACAGUGUUAGAAAAUUUAAUUCUUAAUUAUCUGUUGUCUGCACUCUGCAGCCUAAAUUUUUAUUAUAUUUUAUGCAAUUAAUUUUAAUUAAAACUCAUAUUCGAGACUUUACAGCCUCAGUGGUUUAAUUAAUGCCAUAUUUUAUUUUAUUUUAUUUAUCAAUAGUCCUUUGAAUAGCAUAAAGAUAGUUGUUUGUAUAGUAAUUUUAAUGAAAGGGUAAUAUGGUGUUUUUAUUUAUAUUUUUAUGAAAAUAAUUAAACGAGAUAAAACUAUUUGAAUGCUAUUUUGAUUACUGUGCCACUAAUUCAUUUGUCGUUGUCAAGAUGAUAUAAAUUAAGGCAAUUUGGUGUCCAGUUUUCAUCAACUAGCUCCUUUUCUUUUUCCUUAUUUUAAUCGCCAAAAUAUUGGUAAGCAAUAUAGGAAUCAUAUUAUCUUGCUUUUCUUGUUAAGGUGAAAUAUCAUAAAAUCAAUAAGAUAAAAGAAGUAUUGACCAUAAAAUCAAUGUUGAGCCUUCUCAACGGUGACGGGAUUUAUACGGGAAAACCAAAGUAAAUUGCAUUGUGCACAAUUUUAAGGCUCUUCAUACUUAUUUUAAAAUUAGUUAAAGUUUUUUUUAUUAUUUUAAUUCACUCUCACAAUAUUUAAAUAAUAGUGGUUUAAUCAGUUUUAUUGAAUAGAACUUUAAUAUUAAUUAAAAUUUAUUUUAAUUAAAAAUUAUAAUUAAUAUAAUAUCUUUAAAUAAGCUUAGACUGUAAUCAUAAAUCGUGUUCAUCUUACAUAUUACAUCAAGAUUUUAUUUGAUUGGGGUAAGUAAAUUAUUUUUUAAAAAAUAUAAAAAAUCUCUUAAUUCAUAUUUUAAGUUAAUGACCCCUCUACGCAUUAAUCCAGACAAUUACAGGAGGCCGUUCUAGUACUCAAUGUUUUUUCGGUUAAAGAAAAAAAAAAGUAAAAACUGAAGUUAAUUGCAUUGAAUUUUAGGGCCCUAUUCGUAUUAAAACAAUAAAAUUAACUCCUAUAUUUGAAAAAAAAAAAGAAAGGAAAAUUAACUUGUGUACUGGAUCUUUUAUCUCCUUUUCCCAUUUAUAUUAGGUGAAUUGAAGGAUGUUGUUAUAUAAAUUAAAAUUUACUUUUAUUUUAAAAUUAAAAUUUUUGUAAGAAUUUAAUUAAAUUCUUUUCAUAUAAAAUUUUUAUUUAAAAUAAAAAAAUUAUAAAAUCAUGUGUAAUUUUAUAAAAAUUUAUUUAAAUAUUUUUUUAUAAAAUUAUUCAUAUCAAAUUAAAAAAAUAAAAGAAAGUAAAUUGCAUCUUGCAUAAUUUUUAGGGUACUCUUCAUAUUAGAAAAGAAAAUUUAGCUUGUGGACUAAAACCCUACAUUGUUUUGGAGGCAAUACAACAUAAGGUAUUAUAAAUCGUAGUUAUUUUAUUGUAUUAUUGUAAUAGUAAUUAGUUAAAAAUAAAGAAUAUAUAUUUUUAGAUUCACUCUAAUAGUGUUUUGACAAAUUUUAUAAAGAAAGAUUUAAUAUCAAUUAAAUUUCAGCUGAUGCGACUAAAGGAGGUCGCUGAGAUUAUCUCCCCCACUCUACUGGUCGAGCCAUCUCCCGUGCCCCAGCCUCUUCCCGUACUGUGGCAUCGAGCUCCAAGGGUUCUCGUUCGGGAGUUUCUAGAGCCUCUACUCGUAGGAGGUUUCACUCCUCCUCCCGAUCUCCCACGGCUCCUAAGUCAAAGCCAGCCUCAGUAUCGGCCUCCCAGGAGCUCAUUGCCAUUGAAGAAUCUGCUGAGGAGGUCCCGAAGGGAAAGGAUGAGGUCUUUCCCGCUACUAGGGGCGCUCCUCGAGAAAGCGACGAGGUUCCCUCGGUUGUUGGGGGUGCUUCUGAGGGUGGAGCCGAGGUUGUACCAGCCGGUGGGGGUAUCUCUGUGGUCAAGGCAAAGGCCAAAGCCAUCUCAGCUACUCCCCGCUCGAAGAAGAUCUCAGCCAGCAGCGGCGUCGUGGUCAAGGAGGCUUGAGCUUCUUCCUCGGAGGUUCCUGCUGAGGUUCCAGCCCCAAAGAAGGCUCGCGUGUCCGAGCGGCCUACCCCAGUUCUCCCUCCCACCGAGAAGGCAAAAACACCUGUGGAGCUGUUGUCUUUUGCCCUGGACAAUGAGGUUUUGAACGCGGAUGAGAUCACUCCUCAGCCCCCCGCGAGUCGUGUUGUCGAGCUAUUAAGGGAGAGGAUGUUUGGCGGGGUCACUGAGACUUCAGACCCACGCUUGCUUGCCCUUACCGGCCUCUUAGCCUGUUCUACUCGAGAGCAGGUGGCUUUUUGCUUCCGGACUCGAGAGGAGCUUGGGGAUACAGUCAGUGAGAUGCUUCUAAUGGUGACGGGUGUCUUCAUGGAGAUCGACGUCCGCGACUGGUCGCUCCAAAGCACCGUGGAUCGCCAGGUCGAGGAGGCCCGUCGCGAGGAAAAUCUCAUGGCUACGGGUGAUGCCCGGGGCUAGCUCGCCGCGACUCAGGGUUGCUUGAAGGACCUCGAGGAUGAGUUGGUUUGGACCCGGGAUGCUGUUAGGAGGGCCGACGAGAGGGCAGCUGUGGCAGAGUCCCGUUGUGAUGAAGUUUCAGCUUAGCUGUCCUCUCCGGAGGAGGCCCGGCUAGAGAGGGAUGAAGCCGUGGCCUAAAAGAACGAGGCUUGGCGUGAAUGCGAGGUAGUCAGAGCAGAUCGUGACAACGCCCAGGCCCAUUUCGAGACGGUAAAAUCCUAGAGGGAAGAGGCCCUAGCCCGGGUUGUUGUUCUCGAGCAGGAGCUCACCAAACGCACCGAAGAUCUAAAAGUCCUGACUCUGACUGCAGAGGGAUUAAAACUUCAAAACCAACAACUCUGUUAAGAGGUUAAGGUCUUAGAGGGGAGGUGUUUUGCCCUGCUCGAGGAUGCCAAGCUGACUGAAGACAAAGUCCAGUUGGCCUGUGAGGAGCGCCUUCAGGAAUACAAAGGAUCUACUGAACUAGCAGCCGAGAUCGAUCAAGCCUGCCAGAGAUGUCUGCGAGAGUAUAAGGAUUCUUCAGAGUUACAAACUGAAAUCAGGCAAGACUGUGAAGAUCAUCUCCAACAUUACAAGGACUCUCCUGAGCUGAAAGCUAAGAUUGAAGAGGCCUGUGAGGCACGGCUUGUGGAGUUCAAAGCUUCUGACACCAUGAAAAAUGAGCUUUGGCACAGAGCUUUCCGCAUGUUUGCCUCCGGGUUUAACUAGGGUCUGAAGGAGGCUAGGGAUGCCCCCUCCACCCCAUUAGCUCGGCUCCGAGCCCCUAAAGUAGAUUUCGAUGGGGAGGAAAUGCGCUAUGGGGAGGAUGAUAAUCCCUUGCCUAAGAAUACCUCUUCAUUGCCAGUUGGAUCUCGAGAAGGGGGGGAUGGGCCUCAAGGAUCUCUAGUGGAGAGCGAUGAUGACAAGCUGCCUGUAGGGGAUGACAGACUUCUCAGGAGUGACAGUGUGCUUAGUGUAGGUGAUAAUGUAGUUACUGAUGUUGAGCCCCUUAGCAUCAUUUUGCCAGAUGUAACUAAUAAUGAAUAAAUAAAGACUAUAGUUUCUUUCUUAUA
Molecule: long non-coding RNA, 3605 nt
Organism: Manihot esculenta (cassava)
Lineage: Eukaryota; Viridiplantae; Streptophyta; Magnoliopsida; Malpighiales; Euphorbiaceae
Exons: 2
Source: RefSeq, a predicted model, not a curated record